Zalophus californianus (California sea lion) is the source of this 2924-nucleotide long non-coding RNA. RefSeq lists it as uncharacterized. The record is from RefSeq and is a predicted model, not a curated record. NCBI's taxonomy places the organism in Eukaryota, Metazoa, Chordata, Mammalia, Carnivora, Otariidae. The transcript is spliced from 6 exons.
CCCCCUCGCACGGAGCAUGCGCCGCCCACGGCCGUCGGCAAGAAGAGAGCGCGCUUCCGGGUUUCAGACAAGGCGGAGUGCGGGGGUGACGCGGCGGGAGGGGGCUGGCGUUUUACGUGUAGCAGAAUGAGAGACGUGACACAAGAGGUCCCAAGGGAGCAAACCUGAAAGCCAGCGCCACCUGAACGCACAGACGGCCAAGGGGCGAGAUGAUACUCCUCACUGUUUCCAGAUAGAAGAAGCAUCGCUUUCUUCAGCAGAUUGAUAGAUGAAGCAUAAAACAAGACCAGAUGCUGUGGUUUCCAGGAUGCACUUGGCUUCCCAUGCUUUAUAACCUGGAGCAUUUAUUGCUGGCAUCCUGAGUCUCCAUCAACCAAGGUGGUACAAAAACAGCACUCUACUUGGUUUGUGUUCUGUGCCCUGAAGCAGAAAUGCGUUUAAUUGUACAUUGCAAAAUAAACAGAUAUCUAGAGGAGAAGGUUAUUAAAAAUAUUUUGCGCAGUUUGGAAGAACAAACUAGAGGUCAGGAUUGCUUGACCUAGCGUCUCCAAGCAAACCCCAGUCAAGUAAGCUGCCAAGGUGACCUAGGAAGAGGGUGGCCCUAUGAGCUCUAGCAGCCAAUGGCCUGGGACCGCACCCUGGGAGGCAGCCAAGACAAAGAACGAGGCAAAAAUGAUGCUGUUCCAGUUUUGGGCCUAUACCUGGCAACUUUAGUUUUUGCUCUCUUGGACGAUAAUCACCACGUAAAGAACACUGACAGCUGUGCUGAAGAGGAAGGCCUCAUGGAGGCAGCGUGUUUCUGGAGGAUGAGACCCUCUGGAGGGAGACAGGCCCAGCCUCUCGCUAUUUCAGCCACUCCAGCUGAACCACUAGCCCUGUGCUCGAAGUCGUCUCGGGUCCCCCAGCCCCCGUCAAGCUGCCCCAGCCAACAAACACGAAGGAAAGAUAAGCUGUCACCACUGUGACACUGUCCAUAGUGCAGAAUGUGAGCAAGAAAAUGGUCCAUGCUGUUUCAAGCUGCCACACUUUGGGGUAGUGUGUUAUGCAUAAUAAAUAAUGGAAAUCGAUGUCUGGGAGUUGGAUGUUGGCUUAAAAAAAUCUAAGACACGUGGCACCGGCUUUGGGAGCAGGCAUUGGGUAGAGGUUGGAGAGGUGAAGAAGAAACUCUCUUUUUUUUUAAUUCACUAUUUUUUUUUAAAUUUCUAUUUUGAAACAAUUUUAGACUUACACAAAAGUUGCAAAACUGGCACAGAGUUCAUGCAUGUUCUUCACCCAGCUGCCCGAAUAGUGAUAAAUUGCAUAGCCAGAGAAUAAUGAUCAAAACCAGGAAAUUGACAUAAACCACAGACCGUGUAGGAACUUUGCCAGUUUUUCUGGUAAUGUUCUUUUCCCGUUUCAGAAUCCAAUCCAGGAUCCUGCGUUUGCAUUUAGUUGAUGUAUCUCCUUGGUCUGGGAAGGAGACUCUUAGUGGAGGCUCUGAGGGUCGUGAGAAAAUUGUAUUGCAGGCUGGAGAAGUGGUGCUGUGUAGUCGCAAAAUGUUUGGCAUCCCUUGUGAGCAGUAAAACACAGAAGACAGAAAAUGUACCUAAUGAACUUGUAGAUCUGGCAAAGGGGAGUUUCAAGCUGCACGUUCAGAAUAUCAGUUGGCUUCUUGUAGUGAGGUGUGAUGGUGUUACUAGAGAGAGAGAGAGAGAGAGAGAGAUGUGUUAAAAAAGGAACUGUUCCGUUUUCAAGCAGAAUGUAGAGGAAAUAGGGCCUUGGAGAUUCUGUGUUGUCAGCAAUAGUCUCAAAGGAAGGAAUGGCCUCAGGGGCCUGCCUUUCGAAUGUGGCCUUGAGGUAGAAAUCCAAUCAAGACUAUGUUGAAGCCUCUACAUGUUAAGAUGUUGUUUCAUAGACCCUCUCAUCUAGCCAAAAGGGCUCCUAAGAAGAUCCUUCAGGGGAUUCCAACAGCAUCUCCUUUGACAAGGCCUAAAGUAGACAGAAGUUUGUUCUUGGAAGAAUUAUAGAUGUUGCUUUGUGGGCAGAGUUGUCGAAGGCAAGAAGUAAACUCCGUUAAGACUCAUAGGAAAUCCACAAAAUGUUGAAGACAACUGUAUUGAUGAAACCACUGCUAGCCUGAACUAAAGGGGAAAGAGAGAGUUCAAAAUGUAAACAAACAAACAAACAAAAAACCAUCGGGCCCCCAGCUUUCUGUGGACAGGACCCAGGCUGAGAGAGCUAUUGGACCAUAAAGGGCAGUCAGUGGCUUAUGGAAAAGGAAGCCUCAAAAGUCAUAGCCUGCAUCCCGGAGUAGGGAGCCAGGAACAGUGGUUUGGGAAGCAGCUCCUGGGGAGAAGAACCAGCCCCUAAUGGCGGGGCGGUCUGGGUUCCCAGAGUGAGGGUGACAGUGCUCAGCUGGCUUUCAGAACUGCUAGGGCUGGUGGCUGCUCUGUGCCUUCUGUCUCCCCCGCUUUGAACACAAGUGUCUGUUUUACUUAACUUAUCCCUGUCUCAGCGUCGUAUGUUGUGUCUAUACCUCGUCUUUUCAGCUCACAGGUCUCCAGAGGAAAAGGAGCAGCAUCUAAAAUGCCUCCGCCACGCCUACUGUCUACCAUUAGAUCCUGGCCCUUAGAGCCAGUGCUACACAGAAUGACAAUUUGGGGGGAGGGAGUGUAUUCUGCAAGUCUGUGUGUGUGGGUGUGUGGGUGUGAAUUGUUGUGGCCAAAGGGUGGCUUAUGAUAGAGUGUUUCCCCAUAUGACUGCCGACAGCUCCUCUUAUUCCAGACACUCCUUCCAUUAGGGAGUGUGGUCUCUUUCCUGUCCCCUUGGGUCUGGGCUGGCCCUGUGACUGCCUUUGGCCAGGAGAAUACAGGGAAAGUGAUGUUCUGGGACUUCCAAGCCCUGGCUUUCACUAGCCUUGUAGCUUCCGCUUUCUCUUUCUUGGG